Molecule: small nucleolar RNA, 138 nt
Organism: Tachyglossus aculeatus (Australian echidna)
Lineage: Eukaryota; Metazoa; Chordata; Mammalia; Monotremata; Tachyglossidae
Source: RefSeq, a predicted model, not a curated record
GACCUCUCAGGGUCACGCCUGGAGAGUUUCCAGUCCUCUACCAGUCACGACUACAGGAGGGAGAGUCAGGCAGAGGCAGACUCAUUUCAUUCCUAGCUUGGGCUGUGGCUAGUGAGUGGAAGGCAAUCUGCUACAAGU